This 530-nucleotide long non-coding RNA is filed under the name Cricetulus griseus (Chinese hamster). RNAcentral describes it as "lncRNA (ENSCGRG00015030673.1)". Lineage: Eukaryota; Metazoa; Chordata; Mammalia; Rodentia; Cricetidae. The record is from RNAcentral.
GUUUUAAAAAAAUACCUACCUGCAUUCCAAUCUGUUGUUACCAGCACGGGAGUCUCUCACAGUAAGGGUUUUUGCUGACUGGUGGCUGGCACAAAGGAGUGAAGAUGGGCAGGAAGGGAAGAAUGAGAGAGUCUACUGGAAGGAGGAUGCCUGCUUAGACCAUGAUCAUCCUGGCUCCUGUCCGACAAGAAGAAUAUGCUUUAAUGGAGGUCCAAGUUCAAUGCUUUCACCAAUGAACCUACGAUGUUUGGCACCCAGUAAUGCAGAUGACGCUGAUCCUACUGGAGAAACGUUUGGUCCCAUCCAGGGUAGGUGUUGGUAGAGGUGAGGAGAUCCUAGCAAAGCUUCAGGUUCUUUAUGCAAGAGAAUUCUGGGAUUUACUCCCCAACUCCAGUAUACCUGGACCUGUGAGGACAGCCUGGCACACUGCAAACUGCCUCUGGAAGGUUGGGAGGCCUUACUGGGAACUGACAAGAGGCAAGCAGCUAAGCAGCCAGGACCCAGUGACGAAGUUCUAAUGGUCCAAAAGG